This 73-nucleotide transfer RNA is filed under the name Spirochaeta sp. Its description in RNAcentral is "tRNA-Pro". It matches the Rfam family "tRNA". From Rfam's summary of the family: Transfer RNA (tRNA) molecules are approximately 80 nucleotides in length. Their secondary structure includes four short double-helical elements and three loops (D, anti-codon, and T loops). Further hydrogen bonds mediate the characteristic L-shaped molecular structure. tRNAs have two regions of fundamental functional importance: the anti-codon, which is responsible for specific mRNA codon recognition, and the 3' end, to which the tRNAs corresponding amino acid is attached (by aminoacyl-tRNA synthetases). tRNAs cope with the degeneracy of the genetic code in two manners: having more than one tRNA (with a specific anti-codon) for a particular amino acid; and 'wobble' base-pairing, i.e. permitting non-standard base-pairing at the 3rd anti-codon position. Lineage: Bacteria; Pseudomonadati; Spirochaetota; Spirochaetia; Spirochaetales; Spirochaetaceae. The record is from RNAcentral. RNAcentral also lists the same sequence under 1 other name.
CGGGCUGUAGCGCAGCGGUUAGCGUACAAGUCUGGGGGACUUGGGGUCGGCGGUUCGAAUCCGCCCAGCCCGA